This is a long non-coding RNA of Dermochelys coriacea (leatherback sea turtle), 1842 nucleotides long. RefSeq lists it as uncharacterized. The transcript has 2 exons. The record is from RefSeq and is a predicted model, not a curated record. Lineage: Eukaryota; Metazoa; Chordata; Testudines; Dermochelyidae.
CUCUAGGUGCCACAAGUACUCCUUUUCUUUUUGCGAAUACAGACUAACACGGCUGCUACUCUGAAACCAGGCAUAGGUCAGUUACAGUAAGGAUAUACAUAGCUGUUGGCAUGGAGCCAUGGAUGUAGCUGAUAAACUGUGUUUAUUGGGUGAACUGUUUAUAGGAAAAUUGCCUUUAGUGGCUCAUUGCUUAGUUCUGUAGUGAUCUUCCAGCACUUAGAGAAAAGCACAGACCCUUUACCCCAGAGCCCUGAUAAGGUUAGGAUUUGAAGACGCAUUGUUGGAGCAGUUGUAAGAGAUUGUGUUUUAAUUCCCCUUUUGAACUUUUGUUCCAGCCUCUCUUUUUUUUGUUGUUUUGCAGCUUACUUCCCUUUGAUUUGUGGCAAGUUGAAUAGCUAAGUUAAUUGGUCUCCGUGAAUGAUACUUUGAAACCUAGCCCUGAGCUUUAAACUGAUGGCAGCAGAUCCUGCUCCCACACUUGCUACCUUCUCAGUGCCUAUAGCAAUUCAACAAGCUUGAUCCUGAAAUUCAGUUCUUGAAAUAUUGCAUGUCACCUGUGCAAAAUUCUGAAUGUAAAUGUAGCAGGAAGAUCCCGUAAAUAAACCUCAAAGGGGGAAGGUCUCCAUACAGCAGGGUUCUCAAACUGGGGGUUGGGACCCCUCGGGGUUGCAAGUUUAUUACAUGGUGGGUUGUGAGCUAUCAGGCUCCACCCCAACCCUGCUUUGCCUCCAGCAUUUAUAAUGGUGUUAAAUAUACAAAAAAGUGUUUUUAAUGUAUAAGGGGAGUCACACUUGGAGGCUUACUGUGUGAAAGGGGUCACCAGUACAAAAGUCUGAGAACCCCGGCCAUAGAGAUACAGUAAGUAUGAAAUUCCCCUUAGUAGUCAUUUGUUUGAUAUUAGGAUAUGGUCCAUGGUCUUGGUCAGUUCUCCUGAGGAAGAUGACACCAAAUUCAAGGUCUCAUUAUACCCAAAUUUUCUCAAAUGCCAAGAGAAUUCCAUUUUAGUGCACAACCUGCUGAUCAAUGUGGUCACAUGCAUAUGAACACAAAUAACCCAGUCAAGCAUCUGAUGUCGCUUGUACCCCAGAUAUGUUGGACCCCAAGUAACUCUUAAUUCCCCACCAUUUGAAUCAUCGUAGGUGGAUUUUUCCCACAUCUCCUGGAUUAAGAAAACAAAUAUUGAUCACCCUUUUGGGGCAGGAGGGGCAGGAGAAGAUCCCCAGAUAUUUAUCCUAAACUUCCAGGAAUGUCCUUGUGGUGUUACUCCUCAGCUGAAGUAGAUCCUCCCCCAGUCUCUGUGAUACCCAUUAAGUGCAUACACAUUUCAGAUGUCACCUACUGCCUUGACCCCUUGGAAGGAAGUGAUACCACUUAGCAGCUUCAGACAAAAAUUUGAUUUUCCACCGAAUGCAUCCGAUGAAGUGAACUGUAGCUCACGAAAGCUUAUGCUCAGAUAAAUUUGUUAGUCUCGAAGGUGCCACAAGUACUCCUUUUCUUUAUUUAGACAAAAAUCUGUACUGCAGAAGAACAUCUAUAAUGCAGAGUACAAUACAAGUGUCUGAAUGGGGCAUGUUGUACAGGGUAUCAUGGGGAAUGUCUAGAGAUGUUACUGUAAACACUCAAGUAUCAUGGGGCAUGCCUCCAAGACUUCCUCAGGGCAGUCCCCUGGGAGUUGUGCAAGUCCAACGCAAGUCUAGAAUGUUUCAAAGGAGAAACCCCUGCAGCAUAAGCCUGAGCCACUUCUCUUGCUGAUUAUGAUGUUCAUGGGACUAGAUUGGAGGGUUGACAGCGCACGCAAGUCGGGGGGCAGAUACUCCCAGUAAAUUGCUUGGUUAUUCCUGA